UGGCUCAGAUUGAACGCUGGCGGCAGGCUUAACACAUGCAAGUCGAACGGUAACAUAAAGAAGCUUGCUUCUUUGAUGACGAGUGGCGGACGGGUGAGUAAUGCUUGGGAAUCUAGCUUAUGGAGGGGGAUAACUACGGGAAACUGUAGCUAAUACCGCGUAAUAUCGAAAGAUUAAAGUGUGGGACCUUCGGGCCACAUGCCAUAGGAUGAGCCCAAGUGGGAUUAGGUAGUUGGUGAGGUAAAGGCUCACCAAGCCGACGAUCUCUAGCUGGUCUGAGAGGAUGACCAGCCACACUGGGACUGAGACACGGCCCAGACUCCUACGGGAGGCAGCAGUGGGGAAUAUUGCGCAAUGGGGGCAACCCUGACCGAGCAACGCCGCGUGAGUGAAGAAGGUUUUCGGAUCGUAAAGCUCUGUUGUAAGUCAAGAACGAGUGUGAGAGUGGAAAGUUCACACUGUGACGGUAGCUUACCAGAAAGGGACGGCUAACUACGUGCCAGCAGCCGCGGUAAUACGUAGGUCCCGAGCGUUGUCCGGGAUUUAUUGGGCGUAAAGCGAGCGCAGGCGGUUUGAUAAGUCUGAAGUUAAAGGCUGUGGCUCAACCAUAGUUCGCUUUGGAAAACUGUCAAACUUGAGUGCAGAAGGGGAGAGUGGAAUUCCAUGUGUAGCGGUGAAAUGCGUAAAUAAUAUGGAAGGAACACCGUGCCAAGAAUAGUUCACUGGACGGUUACUGACGCCUGAAGUUGCGAAGCCGGGGAACAAACAAGGAUUAGAUAUCCC
Molecule: ribosomal RNA, 783 nt
Filed under: uncultured bacterium
Lineage: Bacteria
Description: bacterial SSU rRNA
Rfam family: Bacterial small subunit ribosomal RNA
Source: RNAcentral